RNAcentral lists this ribosomal RNA (440 nucleotides) under uncultured bacterium. RNAcentral describes it as "partial 16S ribosomal RNA". It matches the Rfam family "Bacterial small subunit ribosomal RNA", at positions 338 to 795 of the family's 1533-position model. The record is from RNAcentral.
CCUACGGGUGGCAGCAGUGGGGGAUAUUGCACAAUGGGGGGAACCCUGAUGCAGCGACGCCGCGUGGGUGAAGAAGCGCCUCGGCGCGUAAAGCCCUGUCAGCAGGGAAGAAAAUGACGGUACCUGACCAAGAAGCCCCGGCUAACUACGUGCCAGCAGCCGCGGUAAUACGUAGGGGGCAAGCGUUAUCCGGAUUUACUGGGUGUAAAGGGAGCGUAGACGGCAGCGCAAGUCUGGAGUGAAAUGCCGGGGCCCAACCCCGGAACUGCUUUGGAAACUGUGCAGCUGGAGUGCAGGAGAGGUAAGCGGAAUUCCUAGUGUAGCGGUGAAAUGCGUAGAUAUUAGGAGGAACACCAGUGGCGAAGGCGGCUUACUGGACUGUAACUGACGUUGAGGCUCGAAAGCGUGGGGAGCAAACAGGAUUAGAUACCCUAGUAGUC